AUGAAUGAUGCGGUAGACAAAU
This 22-nucleotide non-coding RNA is filed under the name Arabidopsis thaliana (thale cress). Lineage: Eukaryota; Viridiplantae; Streptophyta; Magnoliopsida; Brassicales; Brassicaceae. The record is from RNAcentral.